GACGAACGCUGGCGGCGUGCUUAACACAUGCAAGUCGAACGGAAAGGCCCUGCUUUUGUGGGGUGCACGAGUGGCGAACGGGUGAGUAACACGUGAGUAACCUGCCCUUGACUUUGGGAUAACUUCAGGAAACUGGGGCUAAUACCGGAUAGGAGCUCCUGCUGCAUGGUGGGGGUUGGAAAGUUUCGGCGGUUGGGGAUGGACUCGCGGCUUAUCAGCUUGUUGGUGGGGUAGUGGCUUACCAAGGCUUUGACGGGUAGCCGGCCUGAGAGGGUGACCGGCCACAUUGGGACUGAGAUACGGCCCAGACUCCUACGGGAGGCAGCAGUGGGGAAUAUUGCACAAUGGGCGGAAGCCUGAUGCAGCAACGCCGCGUGCGGGAUGACGGCCUUCGGGUUGUAAACCGCUUUCGCCUGUGACGAAGCGUGAGUGACGGUAAUGGGUAAAGAAGCAUCGGCUAACUACGUG
Molecule: ribosomal RNA, 468 nt
Filed under: uncultured bacterium
Lineage: Bacteria
Description: partial 16S ribosomal RNA
Rfam family: Bacterial small subunit ribosomal RNA
Source: RNAcentral